This 66-nucleotide transfer RNA is filed under the name Caulobothrium sp. MZUSP 7989. RNAcentral's name for it is "tRNA-Ala". Lineage: Eukaryota; Metazoa; Platyhelminthes; Cestoda; Tetraphyllidea. RNAcentral also lists the same sequence under 1 other name. The record is from RNAcentral.
AACAAUGUAUUUUAUUAAGAAUGUUGAGUUUGCGUCUCAAAGGUAGAAUUAUUAUUCUCUUUGUUA